CCUACGGGUGGCUGCAGUGGGGAAUAUUGGACAAUGGGGGGAACCCUGAUCCAGCCAUGCCGCGUGUGUGAAGAAGGCCCUCGGGUUGUAAAGCACUUUCAGUGAGGAAGAACGCCUGAUGGUUAAUACCCAUCAGGAAAGACAUCACUCACAGAAGAAGCACCGGCUAACUCCGUGCCAGCAGCCGCGGUAAUACGGAGGGUGCGAGCGUUAAUCGGAAUUACUGGGCGUAAAGCGCGCGUAGGUGGCUUGAUAAGCCGGUUGUGAAAGCCCCGGGCUCAACCUGGGAACGGCAUCCGGAACUGUCAAGCUAGAGUGCAGGAGAGGAAGGUAGAAUUCCCGGUGUAGCGGUGAAAUGCGUAGAGAUCGGGAGGAAUACCAGUGGCGAAGGCGGCCUUCUGGACUGACACUGACACUGAGGUGCGAAAGCGUGGGUAGCAAACAGGAUUAGAUACCCGUGUAGUC
This 465-nucleotide ribosomal RNA is filed under the name Vreelandella stevensii. RNAcentral's name for it is "partial 16S ribosomal RNA". It matches the Rfam family "Bacterial small subunit ribosomal RNA", at positions 338 to 795 of the family's 1533-position model. Lineage: Bacteria; Pseudomonadati; Pseudomonadota; Gammaproteobacteria; Oceanospirillales; Halomonadaceae. The record is from RNAcentral.